RNAcentral lists this ribosomal RNA (485 nucleotides) under uncultured bacterium. RNAcentral's name for it is "partial 16S ribosomal RNA". It matches the Rfam family "Bacterial small subunit ribosomal RNA", at positions 30 to 506 of the family's 1533-position model. The record is from RNAcentral.
AUUGAACGCUGGCGGCAUGCCUUACACAUGCAAGUCGAACGGCAGCACGGGUGCUUGCACCUGGUGGCGAGUGGCGAACGGGUGAGUAAUACAUCGGAACAUGUCCUGUAGUGGGGGAUAGCCCGGCGAAAGCCGGAUUAAUACCGCAUACGAUCUACGGAUGAAAGCGGGGGACCUUCGGGCCUCGCGCUAUAGGGUUGGCCGAUGGCUGAUUAGCUAGUUGGUGGGGUAAAGGCCUACCAAGGCGACGAUCAGUAGCUGGUCUGAGAGGACGACCAGCCACACUGGGACUGAGACACGGCCCAGACUCCUACGGGAGGCAGCAGUGGGGAAUUUUGGACAAUGGGCGAAAGCCUGAUCCAGCAAUGCCGCGUGUGUGAAGAAGGCCUGCGGGUUGUAAAGCACUUUUGUCCGGAGAGAAAUCCUUGGCCCUAAUACGGUCGGGGGAUGACGGUACCGGAAGAAUAAGCACCGGCUAACUACGU